GCCCACCAAGGCGACGACGGGUAGCCGGCCUGAGAGGGCGACCGGCCACACUGGGACUGAGACACGGCCCAGACUCCUACGGGAGGCAGCAGUGGGGAAUAUUGCACAAUGGGCGCAAGCCUGAUGCAGCGACGCCGCGUGAGGGAUGACGGCCUUCGGGUUGUAAACCUCUUUCAGUACCGACGAAGCGCAAGUGACGGUAGGUACAGAAGAAGCACCGGCCAAAUACGUGCCAGCAGCCGCGGUAAUACGUAGGGUGCGAGCGUUGUCCGGAAUUACUGGGCGUAAAGAGCUCGUAGGCGGUUUGUCGCGUCGUCUGUGAAAACCCGCAGCUCAACUGCGGGCUUGCAGGCGAUACGGGCAGACUUGAGUACUGCAGGGGAGACUGGAAUUCCUGGUGUAGCGGUGAAAUGCGCAGAUAUCAGGAGGAACACCGGUGGCGAAGGCGGGUCUUUGGGCAGUAACUGACGCUGAGGAGCGA
RNAcentral lists this ribosomal RNA (481 nucleotides) under Rhodococcus sp. NCIM5234. RNAcentral's name for it is "bacterial SSU rRNA". It matches the Rfam family "Bacterial small subunit ribosomal RNA", at positions 263 to 756 of the family's 1533-position model. Lineage: Bacteria; Bacillati; Actinomycetota; Actinomycetes; Mycobacteriales; Nocardiaceae. The record is from RNAcentral.